UAAUUUUAUUUUGAACGGUGUGAGUGGCUGCCCCAACUAGUCUAUCUGUGUGUUGAGAACUGGUAAUAGUGUCACUUACAGCUGCUGCCAACUGCAACUGGGGUUGUCUGAAGACUGAGUUAUGUGUGCUUAGAAGACUGUGCCUGGUGCUUAGAACACUGCUUGUCCCAUGUCCCUCUACCGAUUUUGUUCUGAUAAAUGGCUUACUGCAAGCUACCACCUUCUCCAUAAUACUUAGGAAAGGCGAGCGGCGCUUGGGACACUCGGCCGGCGGAAGUGGAGGAGUGGAACGCGCAUCUGGAGACUUCUACCCCUGCUC
Long non-coding RNA from Odocoileus virginianus texanus, 319 nucleotides. RefSeq lists it as uncharacterized. The record is from RefSeq and is a predicted model, not a curated record. Lineage: Eukaryota; Metazoa; Chordata; Mammalia; Artiodactyla; Cervidae.